UUCUUGAUCGUAUAACGGUUAGUAUGCUCGCUUGUCACGUGACUUCGCGUUUCGCGGGAGAUCGGAGUUCGAUUCUCCGUCAGGAAG
This is a non-coding RNA of Apiotrichum porosum, 87 nucleotides long. The record is from the annotation of a RefSeq genome assembly. NCBI's taxonomy places the organism in Eukaryota, Fungi, Basidiomycota, Tremellomycetes, Trichosporonales, Trichosporonaceae.